UUUUUUAUUUAUUUUUUUGCAGAAUGAAUGUAUGAGUGUGUGUUGAUGUAUGACAAGACGGAAUCUGAAUUUGUGCAGCUCCAUCUUUCAAAUCCAGACAUACAAUUUAAAGGCACUGGACGAAAAGGUCAUAUUCAGUCUUCUGAGUGCUGACAAUCCAGAAAAAAAUAAAAUAACUUUAUUGCUCAGUAGCUGCUUCAUCAUUACUCAGGAGACCUAAUCGGGAUGUGUUUUUUUUCAUGCAGGACAAAUAGAGACUACUACUGUAAUGGUCAACAUUAAAACUGUCACCAUUGUGAUGUUUCAGAUUUAUGUGACUUUUCUUCAUGCAUGAUUAAAAUGCUCCUAACCACAGACUAAAAGCUGUUCCAACAAUACAGUUUGUGAUGCAAAUGUGUUGUAACUAUGGAUUCAGGAAGUAUGUUGGUAGUGACACAUGAAAACAUAAUGAUUUUGAGAAAUGUGAAUAAAAGAAUUUUUAACUUUUUAAUGAAAUAGUUUUAAUGUGGAUAAGACC
This is a non-coding RNA of Danio rerio (zebrafish), 517 nucleotides long. The record is from Ensembl. Lineage: Eukaryota; Metazoa; Chordata; Actinopteri; Cypriniformes; Danionidae.